AUGGAGUACCCGGGCCUGAUCAAGAUCGCCAUGCACGGCGGGCCGCGGUGUGACCCAGACAGCAGGGACUGGACCGUCGGCACCACCGAGGGCGAGGGUGGGCUGGCGGAUCCCGUGGCACGGUGGAUCGACGAGGUGAUGCCGGGCCACGUCGACCCUGCCGGCGGGCCGGUGCUCCGGCAGGCGUGCAUGUACUCCAUGACGCCCGACGAGGACUUCGUGAUCGACUUCCUGGGCGGCGAGGAGUUCGGGAGGGACGUGGUUGUCGGCGCCGGGUUCUCUGGUCACGGGUUCAAGAUGGGCCCUGCCAUCGGGAGGAUCCUUGCUGAGAUGGCGUUGGACGGUGAGUCAGGGACGGCGGCAGAGGCUGGCGUGGAGCUCGAGCACUUCAGGAUCGGACGGUUCGACGGCAACCCGAUGGGGAACGCUACAAGUUGGUAA
RNAcentral lists this ribosomal RNA (441 nucleotides) under Triticum aestivum (bread wheat). RNAcentral's name for it is "partial small subunit ribosomal RNA". The record is from RNAcentral. Lineage: Eukaryota; Viridiplantae; Streptophyta; Magnoliopsida; Poales; Poaceae.